CAGCCUUGAGGGGGAAGAAGCUGUCGCAGGCGGUGACCACUCCGAAGGGACCUGCCGCCCUGCCCCCACCCACUUGCACAGCCAUCCAGCCCCUGGCCGCCUCCACGUUGCUUCUGUUGGUGCCAGGUGGGAGUGGGGCAGGGCUGGCGGGAACAGAGCAGGGUGCGGUCCCCCCUCCCACCCCCUGCGUCCUGCUGGGGGCUCUGGCCGUUGCUGGGCCGGGGGAGGGUAGGUCGUGCCGAUUUCUGUCUUGUACGUUUUGUUCUGC
RNAcentral lists this long non-coding RNA (268 nucleotides) under Oryctolagus cuniculus (rabbit). RNAcentral describes it as "lncRNA (ENSOCUG00000032518.1)". The record is from RNAcentral. Lineage: Eukaryota; Metazoa; Chordata; Mammalia; Lagomorpha; Leporidae.